AUGUCUGCGGACAACCAUGCUGGUAUCACUAGAGCGCGGCGGGAGCCGGCGAGGGCUGCGGGAGCCGGCGAGGGCUGCUGCCGCCGGGCGCAGGUGUCCCCCCUCGUCUCCUUCAGCGCGACCCACCAACUCCACAGCAAAUCUCUUGAGUAAUGAAGAAAACUUGAAACUGUUUGGGAAAUGCAACAAUCUAAAUGGCCAUGGAAACAAUUAUAAAGUUGUGGUGACGGUGCAUGGAGAGAUUGAUCCUGUUACAGGAAUUGUUAUGAAUUUGACCUCAAAGAGUAUAUGGAGAAGGCAAUUAUGAAGCCCCUUGAUCAUAAGAAUUUGGAUCUGCAUGUGCCAUACUUUGUAGAUGUUAUAAGCACGACAGAAAAUGUAGCUGUAUAUAUCUGGGAAAACCUCCAGAAAUUUCUUCCUCUGGGAGUUCUUUAUAAAGUAAAAGUGUAUGAAACUGACAAUAAUAUCGUUGUCUAUAAAGGAGAAUGGCUUUUAGGGGUUAAUACUGUAGAAAGACUAAUUUCUUUCCAUAUUUGAAAAAGGUCUUUAUCCCCUGGGACUAUUAAGAAGUCGUCACACACUUGUUAUGCCUCUACAUUGUGUUCCGGAGUGCCCAAUUAAUUGAAAUCGUUGUGUGUAAGACCUGUUGUGAAUUCAAAUCUAUCUUAAAACCAAACUUGUAAAACAUCCUGAGUAUCAUUUAGA
Molecule: RNA transcript, 705 nt
Organism: Odobenus rosmarus divergens (Pacific walrus)
Lineage: Eukaryota; Metazoa; Chordata; Mammalia; Carnivora; Odobenidae
Gene name: 6-pyruvoyl tetrahydrobiopterin synthase-like
Exons: 2
Source: RefSeq, a predicted model, not a curated record